AGAGUUUGAUCCUGGCUCAGGGUAAACGCUGGCGGCGUGCCUAAAACAUGCAAGUCGAACGGGCACCUUCGGGUGUCAGUGGCAGACGGCUGAGUAACGCGUGGGUGACGUACCUGUUGGUGGGGAAUAACUGCCCGAAAGGGUGGCUAAUUCCGCAUAAGCCCUUCGAUUCAGUUUGGAGGGGAAAGCCGCAAGGCGCCGAUGGAGCGGCCCGCGUCCGAUUAGCUGGUUGGUGGGGUAACGGCCUACCAAGGCGACGAUCGGUAGCUGGUCUCAGAGGAUGAUCAGCCAGACUGGGACUGAGACACGGCCCAGACUCCUACGGGAGGCAGCAGUUAGGAAUUUUGGGCAAUGGGCGCAAGCCUGACCCAGCAACGCCGCGUGGGUGACGAAGGCCUUCGGGUUGUAAAGCCCUUUUCUGAGGGAAGAUGAUGACGGUACCUCAGGAAGAAGCACCGGCUAACUACGUGCCAGCAGCCGCGGUAAUACGUAGGGUGCGAGCGUUGCCCGGAUUUAUUGGGCGUAAAGGGCGCGUAGGCGGCCACGCACGUCCGUUGUGAAAUCGCUCGGCUCAACUGGGCGGGGUCAGCGGAUACGGUGUGGCUGGAGCAAGCUAGGGGGCAAUGGAAUUCCCGGUGUAGUGGUGGAAUGCGUAGAUAUCGGGAGGAACACCAGUGGCGAAGGCGGUUGCCUGGAGCUUUGCUGACGCUGAGGCGCGAAAGCGUGGGGAGCGAUCCGGAUUAGAUACCCGGGUAGUCC
Molecule: ribosomal RNA, 759 nt
Filed under: uncultured bacterium
Lineage: Bacteria
Description: bacterial SSU rRNA
Rfam family: Bacterial small subunit ribosomal RNA
Source: RNAcentral